This 678-nucleotide ribosomal RNA is filed under the name Leptogonum buchii. RNAcentral describes it as "eukaryotic LSU rRNA". The stretch from base 241 to 396 matches the Rfam family "5.8S ribosomal RNA". Lineage: Eukaryota; Viridiplantae; Streptophyta; Magnoliopsida; Caryophyllales; Polygonaceae. The record is from RNAcentral.
GAAGCCCGCAGAGCAGAGCGAGCCGCGAACUCGUUUAUCGUGCCCCCGGGGGGCGGGGCCCGCCCCGNCCCCCGGAGCCGGAGCGCGCNUGCGCCUCCCCNUCCGUCGGGGCGGCGGCGUCCCGGCACGUACCCCAACACCGGCGCGGGUUGCGCCAAGGCCCACGGACUCUGUCGCGUCCCGCUCUUCCCCGGGCCGACCGGGGACUGCGGCGAGGGCGCGUCGGAUGAAAAACGAAACGACUCUCGGCAACGGAUAUCUCGGCUCUCGCAUCGAUGAAGAACGUAGCGAAAUGCGAUGCUUGGUGUGAAUUGCAGAAUCCCGCGAACCAUCGAGUCUUUGAACGCAAGUUGCGCCCGAAGCCAUUCGGCCGAGGGCGCGUCUGCCUGGGCGUCACGCAUCGCGUCGCCCCCUGCCCCCCGNCCGAAGACGGGGGGAGGGGCGGACUUUGGCCCCCCGCGCGCCCGUGCGCGCGGCCGGCCCAAACACGGAGCCCGUGGCUGCACACGCCGCGACGGUCGGUGGUUGACGCGCGGCCGCGAGCUCAAAAGCUCAUGGCCGGGAAGCAUCGCGUCGCGUGCCCGAGCGGGCCGCGUGAGCUCGAAGGACCCUUAGCGACCCCAGGUCAGGCGGGAUCACCCGCUGAGUUUAAGCAUAUCAAUAAGCGGAGGAAAGGAA